Patella vulgata (common limpet) is the source of this 261-nucleotide long non-coding RNA. RefSeq lists it as uncharacterized. Lineage: Eukaryota; Metazoa; Mollusca; Gastropoda; Patellidae. The record is from RefSeq and is a predicted model, not a curated record. The transcript is spliced from 3 exons.
AUCAUUAGCCUUAGAUAAAGAGCAUGUUAGAAAAGUCAGAAGGAAAAGAUAUUGUAUAGCAGCCACCGCCAUCUUUCUUCUGGUUUUAUUAAUCAUAACAGCUCUUGCAGUUGCUAUCUACUUUAUAGAUAAUCAGAUGACUGAUAAUGGGACAGUUAUACCUAGGGCACCACCACCUAAAUCACAGUCACCUCUAGCAGCUGAUCCUGAUUUUGUGGCGAACCUGAAGGUAACAAAUUAUAAUUGGGAUCCGAGAAUGGC